GACGAACGCUGGCGGCGUGCUUAACACAUGCAAGUCGAACGAUGAAGCCGGAGCUUGCUCUGGUGAAUUAGUGGCGAACGGGUGAGUAACACGUGAGUAACCUGCCCUUGACUCUGGGAUAACUGCUAGAAAUGGUAGCUAAUACCGGAUACGACCCUCGGCGGCAUCGCCAGGGGGUGGAAAGAAUUUCGGUCAAGGAUGGACUCGCGGCCUAUCAGCUAGUUGGUGAGGUAACGGCUCACCAAGGCGACGACGGGUAGCCGGCCUGAGAGGGUGACCGGCCACACGGGGACUGAGACACGGCCCAGACUCCUACGGGAGGCAGCAGUGGGGGAUAUUGCACAAUGGGCGCAAGCCUGAUGCAGCAACGCCGCGUGAGGGAUGACGGCCUUCGGGUUGUAAACCUCUUUUAGUAGGGAAGAAGCGAAAGUGACGGUACCUGCAGAAAAAGCACCGGCUAACUACGUGCCAGCCGCCGCAGUAA
This 484-nucleotide ribosomal RNA is filed under the name uncultured bacterium. RNAcentral's name for it is "partial 16S ribosomal RNA". It matches the Rfam family "Bacterial small subunit ribosomal RNA", at positions 28 to 523 of the family's 1533-position model. The record is from RNAcentral.